RNAcentral lists this ribosomal RNA (407 nucleotides) under uncultured prokaryote. RNAcentral's name for it is "bacterial SSU rRNA". It matches the Rfam family "Bacterial small subunit ribosomal RNA", at positions 355 to 776 of the family's 1533-position model. The record is from RNAcentral. RNAcentral also lists the same sequence under 1 other name.
UGGGGAAUAUUGGGCAAUGGGGGAAACCCUGACCCAGCAACGCCGCGUGAGGGAAGAAGGUUUUCGGAUUGUAAACCUCUGUCUAAGGGGACGAAGGAAGUGACGGUACCCUUGGAGGAAGCCCCGGCUAACUACGUGCCAGCAGCCGCGGUAAUACGUAGGGGGCGAGCGUUGUCCGGAAUUACUGGGCGUAAAGGGUGCGUAGGCGGCUAUGCAAGUCAGAUGUGAAAGACUCCGGCUUAACCGGGGGUGUGCAUAUGAAACUGCGUGGCUUGAGUGCGGGAGAGGCAAGUGGAAUUCCUAGUGUAGCGGUGAAAUGCAUAGAUAUUAGGAGGAACACCAGUGGCGAAGGCGACUUGCUGGACCGCAACUGACGCUGAGGCACGAAAGCGUGGGGAGCAAACAGG